UCUUGAUAUCUAUUUAUAGAAUAAAUGCCCCUCUUUAAAUUGCCCCGCCCCCACCCGGGGAAGAAUCAUGCGCGUGCGCAGUUACACCAUGCCCCCAAUAAAGAUGGCGGUGGUUACCGGGACUUAUUAUCGCCUCAGGCCUGCAUCGUUCUCCCGUUUUCUGCAAACGCGGGACCAUAAAAUAUCUUGAAAUCAAAUCUGCACCUCGACUGGAUCACUGCUUAAUGUUCUCUGUCCACUACACGUCCAAUUUUGGUGUCAUCUGCAAGAACAUAGAACAAUACAGCGCAGAACAGGCCCUUUGACCCUCGAUGUUAGGUCGACAUCCUUCCUAUAGCAAGUAGACCAAAUUCGAUUGCAGCAUUCCAAAAGCAGCCUAACCAACAUCCUAUAUGGCUGCUUAGUGACCUCUCAACUUCUACACUCCAUGCACUGACCAAUAAAGGCAAGCAUACCAAA
Long non-coding RNA from Stegostoma tigrinum, 459 nucleotides. RefSeq lists it as uncharacterized. Lineage: Eukaryota; Metazoa; Chordata; Chondrichthyes; Orectolobiformes; Stegostomatidae. The transcript is spliced from 2 exons. The record is from RefSeq and is a predicted model, not a curated record.